UCAGAAGAACACAGCAGCUCAGUCCUGUUACUACUAAAGUCUCCAGUGGAAAAAUGGUACCCAGAGCCAGGGAGCAUGAUGCUGUCCUCAAUUUACGUAGAAUCCCUGAUUGCUCCGGCCCUUGGAGCAGCUUCAGUGGUGCCCUGAUGCAGCAUCCUCAGCAUAGAAAUGGGUGGUCUCCCAGGAUACGCCAGCAUCCCUAGCACUAACAAGCCUCCUUCCGUUAGCUUUGUGGAUGGAGAACAUUACGGACAUGCUCUUUCUGCAUUCUAAGUGGUAAACUUUGCUAGGAAGGAAGGAACAACUCACACACCUGGCUCCAGAGAAAGUUGUGUCGACCUCAUUUCUGCAUCAAACACAUUUCUCUACAUCUCCCAGAGUCAGCUUUGGAGCAUUUCCUCUGAACGUGGCUGCUCAUGUCAGGCACCAAGCUUGGCUUCCCCAUAGCAGUUCAGAAACCCAAAUAUCUCCCAUGUUCGGGUUCUGCUGUCGUCAAGAUGUUUAUCAGCAUUAAGAAGGAAAAGGCAGGCAGGAUUCCACAUGCGAAGAUUCUGUGGGACAGAAAUGGAAGUGGUUCCUGGUACUUCUGCCCAUUUGCCAUCAGCUGAAUUCAGUAACUUGGCCACAGUUAACUCCAAGAAAGGCUUGGAAGCAGGCUCAAGUUGUGUGUCUAGGAAGAAGAUGAAACAUGUUUAAUGAACAGCUAGGCAAUCUCUGCCAUACAUUCCUUCUUUUCAUAAGACAUAGACCCAAAAAAUAAUCAGCUUUCACCAAUAAGGUUGAUCUGGUUUGGCUGUGUCCCCACCCAAAUCUCAUCUUGGGUUGUGGCUCCCAUAAUUCCCAUUUGUUGUGGGAGGGACCCGGUGGGAGAUAUGGGGGUGGUUUCCCUUAUACUGUUCUCAUGGUAGUGAAUAAGUCUCAUGAGAUCUGAUGGUUUUGUAAGAGAAAACCCCUUUCACUUGGCUCUCAUUCUUUCUUUGCCUGCAGCCAUGUAAGACGUGCCUUGGUUCUUCCCUCACCUUCCCCCAUGAUUGUGAGGUCUUCCCAGCCACGUGAAAUUGUGAG
This 1065-nucleotide long non-coding RNA is filed under the name Macaca mulatta (Rhesus monkey). RNAcentral's name for it is "lncRNA (ENSMMUG00000049607.1)". Lineage: Eukaryota; Metazoa; Chordata; Mammalia; Primates; Cercopithecidae. The record is from RNAcentral.